RNAcentral lists this ribosomal RNA (492 nucleotides) under uncultured bacterium. RNAcentral's name for it is "partial 16S ribosomal RNA". It matches the Rfam family "Bacterial small subunit ribosomal RNA", at positions 30 to 507 of the family's 1533-position model. The record is from RNAcentral.
AUUGAACGCUGGCGGCAUGCUUUACACAUGCGAGUCGAACGGUAACAGGCCUUCGGGUGCUGACGAGUGGCGAACGGGUGAGUAAUGCAUCGGAACGUGCCCAGAGGUGGGGGAUAACGCAGCGAAAGCUGUGCUAAUACCGCAUGUGAUCUGAGGAUGAAAGCGGGGGACCAGGCAGCAAUGUUUGGCCUCGCGCCUUUGGAGCGGCCGAUGUCAGAUUAGGUAGUUGGUGGGGUAAAGGCCUACCAAGCCGACGAUCUGUAGCUGGUCUGAGAGGACGACCAGCCACACUGGGACUGAGACACGGCCCAGACUCCUACGGGAGGCAGCAGUGGGGAAUUUUGGACAAUGGGCGCAAGCCUGAUCCAGCAAUGCCGCGUGCGGGAAGAAGGCCUUCGGGUUGUAAACCGCUUUUGUACGGAACGAAAAGGCUCUGGCUAAUACCUGGGGCUGAUGACGGUACCGUAAGAAUAAGCACCGGCUAACUACGUG